This 1158-nucleotide long non-coding RNA is filed under the name Homo sapiens (human). RNAcentral's name for it is "HSALNT0323890". Lineage: Eukaryota; Metazoa; Chordata; Mammalia; Primates; Hominidae. The record is from RNAcentral.
CUGCACCACUGCAGGCCUGGGUAGUAGCAAACACACCGAUCUGCGCCCUGUCACUGGUUUAGGAAGCUGAGCCCCAGCCGCUGAGCCGUUUUCUACCGGCUGAAGCACGCAUGCUUCCUUUGCUUCCUUUGCUUCUGCAAGGGAACAAUGAGCAAGUGCAUGUGUGGGAACCCUCCUGCCUGCUGGGCGCUCAGCUAGGAGUCCCAGAAUACCAGACACCAUUAUAUUCAAAUAUCCCUGCUCUCAGACCCCUGUAGACCUACUGGUUCUGGAAAAAAGCUUUCUUCUUCGGUCCCCUGAGUAGGCUAGUGACAACUGAAAACAUGCAGACCACAAAAGAUGUGAGAAUUCAAACUGAGCCAUAGCUCCAUCUCCUGGAAGUGUAUAUCAGCAGCAACAAGAGUAAAGACCCAGAGGCAUGAGAAACACUUCCUCACUGAAGCACUCACGUUCCGACUGUGUGCAAAAGACCUUUUGUGUCUCACUCACUGAGGGAGAUUGUUCUUCACUCAAUCAAUGAGAAGAACAGACGUCUUAGAAAACCUUCAGUACCUGGGGGAAAUGAAUGAGCUCAAACACAAGGGAAAGUCAGCCCGUGUUCAAGAUAAGCCCAUCUCAGGAAGGCAGGCACCAUGCUCCUGAGACUACUUUACCCCCAGAUAAGAAAGCCCUUAUUGAUAAGCCAAAAUCACAGAUUAUUUUAUUAAGCUCAUAUUUUAAAAGAAUGCAAAGCUUCCUUUAAUGUUACUUUCCAUUAUAAAUGUAAAAUUACAGUUUGCACAUAAUAUCUGGAUUCUGGUUAACUAUUUUCCAUACUGUAUUUUGCAAUUGCAUAUCUGCAUUUCUAUUUUUAUAUUAAAAAAUAAAUAGGGUUAUGCAAAUAAUAUUUCUAAUUGUGCAUAUUUAUGUAUUUAUAUUAAGUUUUAGUAUGUCUGCUUGCUCACAUAAUUUAUCUUCUCUUUAUGUAUAAUUUCAUUUACUUACAAUAACUAAUUAUUAGGGAAACAAAUAAAAUCUUUGAGAAAUUACCAGAGGUUAAUUCAUAAGUGCUUUAUCUUGCUUCACAGAUAAUCAUAUACUUUAUUUCUAAACUUUGAAAUGUUAUUGUCCAUAUUGUUUCUUCGUACUUACAAAAGUAAGAAAUUGGAUUGUAAUGUU